RNAcentral lists this ribosomal RNA (301 nucleotides) under uncultured bacterium. RNAcentral's name for it is "partial 16S ribosomal RNA". It matches the Rfam family "Bacterial small subunit ribosomal RNA", at positions 509 to 808 of the family's 1533-position model. The record is from RNAcentral.
CAGUCGCCGCGGUAAUACGAAGGGGGCUAGCGUUGUUCGGAUUUACUGGGCGUAAAGCGCACGUAGGCGGACUUUUAAGUCAGGGGUGAAAUCCCGGGGCUCAACCCCGGAACUGCCUUUGAUACUGGAAGUCUUGAGUAUGGUAGAGGUGAGUGGAAUUCCGAGUGUAGAGGUGAAAUUCGUAGAUAUUCGGAGGAACACCAGUGGCGAAGGCGGCUCACUGGACCAUUACUGACGCUGAGGUGCGAAAGCGUGGGAGCAAACAGGAUUAGAGACCCCUGUAGUCCCUGUCUCUUAUACA